Molecule: ribosomal RNA, 253 nt
Filed under: uncultured bacterium
Lineage: Bacteria
Description: partial 16S ribosomal RNA
Rfam family: Bacterial small subunit ribosomal RNA
Source: RNAcentral
UACGUAGGGACCAAGCGUUGUUCGGAUUUACUGGGCGUAAAGGGCGCGUAGGCGGCGUGGUAAGUCACUUGUGAAAUCUCUGAGCUUAACUCAGAACGGUCAAGUGAUACUGCUGUGCUAGAGUGCGGAAGGGGCAAUCGGAAUUCUUGGUGUAGCGGUGAAAUGCGUAGAGAUCGGAAGGAACACCAGUGGCGAAGGCGGCCGCCUGGGCAGUAACUGACGCUGAGGCGCGAAAGCUAGGGGAGCAAACAGG